GAUGAAGAACGCAGCGAAAUGCGAUAAGUAGUGUGAAUUGCAGACUUUAGUGAAUCAUCGAAUCUUUGAACGCACAUUGCGCCCGCCAGUAUUCUGGCGGGCAUGCCUGUUCGAGCGUCAUUUCAACCCUCAGGCCCCCAGUGCCUGGUGUUGGGGAUCGGCCCAGCCUUCCUGUAAGGCCGCCGGCCCCGAAAUCUAGUGGCGGUCUCGCUGUAGUCCUCCUCUGCGUAGUAGCACAACCUCGCAGUUGGAACGCGGCGGUGGCCAUGCCGUUAAACACCCCACUUCUGAAAGUUGACCUCGGAUCAGGUAGGAAUACCCGCUGAACUUAAGCAUAUCAAUAAGCGGAGGA
This 352-nucleotide unclassified non-coding RNA is filed under the name soil metagenome. RNAcentral describes it as "partial contains 5.8S ribosomal RNA, internal transcribed spacer 2, and large subunit ribosomal RNA". The stretch from base 1 to 120 matches the Rfam family "5.8S ribosomal RNA", at positions 35 to 154 of the family's 154-position model. The record is from RNAcentral.